RNAcentral lists this microRNA precursor (113 nucleotides) under Vicugna pacos (alpaca). RNAcentral describes it as "miRNA (ENSVPAG00000017051.1)". The stretch from base 23 to 98 matches the Rfam family "mir-190 microRNA precursor family". Lineage: Eukaryota; Metazoa; Chordata; Mammalia; Artiodactyla; Camelidae. The record is from RNAcentral.
AGACCUGGAUGUCUCUUUGCAGGCCUCUGUGUGAUAUGAUUGAUAUAUUAGGUUGUUAUUUAAUCCAACUAUAUAUCAAACAUAUUUCUUACAGUGUCUUGCCCUGUCUCCGG